AACUUGUCAACCACAUCUAUUUUGAUGUUGGCUUGGAUGUGGGGGUUGUUUGCAGGCUUCUGUAAAAGUCGGCUCCCCUAAAAUGUAUUAGUGGUAUCCGAGGCUAUUACUAUCAGGUGUGAUAAAUUAUCUAUGCCUUUGGUAUGCUGCAUACUGCUUCGAACAAAAACAAUGUUGAUGA
This 181-nucleotide unclassified non-coding RNA is filed under the name uncultured Inocybe. RNAcentral's name for it is "sequence contains ITS2". Lineage: Eukaryota; Fungi; Basidiomycota; Agaricomycetes; Agaricales; Cortinariaceae. The record is from RNAcentral.